Molecule: non-coding RNA, 89 nt
Organism: Brachypodium distachyon (stiff brome)
Lineage: Eukaryota; Viridiplantae; Streptophyta; Magnoliopsida; Poales; Poaceae
Source: Rfam
AUUGCUGUGAUGAGCCGUAACAAUAAGAAGACCAACAGAUCAAUUGGUUCUUCGGUGAAAUAUUCUUUUACGCUUGGCUUCUGAGCUAA